UUGCCAAUACACACGCCAGCAAACAUCCUCCAGACUCAGUACCCAACCCGGCUGGAUGUCCAGGUUGCUGAGACCUGGAGGAGUUAACACCAGACCCGCAGACGCCCACACUAAGGGUCUGAGUUCUCUCAGCAAAUAUCUACCUAGUGCCUGCUCCCUGCAAAGUUCACAGACACGUCAGCAAGCAAAGCAUCUCAACAUCCAUGCCCAGCAUGACUCACAGUUGCCAAGAGAAGAGGUCCCUCAAGUGUCCAUGGAUGGAUGACUGGAAUGCAGUCCAAGGAGAGUGUGGUUCAUUCAUUCAAGGCAAUGGUAUUCAGCCUUAAGAGGAAGGAUAUUCUG
This is a long non-coding RNA of Cervus elaphus (red deer), 342 nucleotides long. RefSeq lists it as uncharacterized. The transcript has 3 exons. NCBI's taxonomy places the organism in Eukaryota, Metazoa, Chordata, Mammalia, Artiodactyla, Cervidae. The record is from RefSeq and is a predicted model, not a curated record.